CAGGCCUAACACAUGCAAGUCGAGGGGCAGCAGGGCAAUAGCUUGCUAUUGUUGCUGGCGACCGGCGCACGGGUGAGUAACGCGUAUCCAACCUACCCCGCGGUCAGGGACAGCCCGGCGAAAGUCGGAUUAAUACCUGAUGCAGUCAGAAGAGGGCAUCUGAUUUUGACGAAAGAUUGAUCGCCUCGGGAUGGGGAUGCGUAGGAUUAGGCAGGCGGCGGGGUAACGGCCCACCGCGCCGACGAUCCUUAGGGGUUCUGAGAGGAAGGUCCCCCACACUGGUACUGAGACACGGACCAGACUCCUACGGGAGGCAGCAGUGAGGAAUAUUGGUCAAUGGGCGCGAGCCUGAACCAGCCAAGUAGCGUGCAGGAUGACGGCCCUAUGGGUUGUAAACUGCUUUUAUGCGGGGAUAAAGUGCGGCACGUGUGCCGUUUUGUAGGUACCGCAUGAAUAAGGACCGGCUAAUUCCGUGCCAGCAGCCGCGGUAAUACGGAAGGUCCGGGCGUUAUCCGGAUUUAUUGGGUUUAAAGGGAGCGCAGGCGGCCUUUUAAGCGUGACGUGAAAUGUAGGCGCUCAACGUCUGAAUUGCGUCGCGAACUGUUAGGCUUGAGUAGACGGAAUGUCGGCGGAAUUCGUGGUGUAGCGGUGAAAUGCUUAGAUAUCACGAAGAACUCCGAUUGCGAAGGCAGCUGACAGCAGUUUUACUGACGCUCAUGCUCGAAAGUGCGGGUAUCGAACAGGAUUAGAUACCCUGGUAGUCCGCACGGUAAACGAUGGAUGCCCGCUGUUUGCCUUUUUGGUAAGCGGCCAAGCGAAAGCAUUAAGCAUCCCACCUGGGGAGUACGCCGGCAACGGUGAAACUCAAAGGAAUUGACGGGGGCCCGCACAAGCGGAGGAACAUGUGGUUUAAUUCGAUGAUACGCGAGGAACCUUACCCGGGCUUGAACUGCACAGGAAUGCGGGAGAGAUCCCAAAGCCCUUCGGGGCCUGUGUGGAGGUGCUGCAUGGUUGUCGUCAGCUCGUGCCGUGAGGUGUCGGCUUAAGUGCCAUAACGAGCGCAACCCUUCUCUUCAGUUGCCAUCACUUCGGGUGGGCACUCUGGAGACACUGCCACCGUAAGGUGUGAGGAAGGUGGGGAUGACGUCAAAUCAGCACGGCCCUUACGUCCGGGGCUACACACGUGUUACAAUGGGGCAUACAGAGCGCAGGCCGCCGGCGACGUCGGUCCAAUCGUCAAAGUGCCCCUCAGUUCGGAUUGGGGUCUGCAACCCGACCCCAUGAAGCUGGAUUCGCUAGUAAUCGCGCAUCAGCCAUGGCGCGGUGAAUACGUUCCCGG
This 1339-nucleotide ribosomal RNA is filed under the name uncultured rumen bacterium. RNAcentral's name for it is "bacterial SSU rRNA". It matches the Rfam family "Bacterial small subunit ribosomal RNA", at positions 43 to 1377 of the family's 1533-position model. The record is from RNAcentral.